Molecule: ribosomal RNA, 253 nt
Filed under: uncultured bacterium
Lineage: Bacteria
Description: partial 16S ribosomal RNA
Rfam family: Bacterial small subunit ribosomal RNA
Source: RNAcentral
GACGAACCGAGCGAACGUUAUUCGGAAUCACUGGGCUUAAAGGGCGCGUAGGCGGUCUGUCAAGUCAGAGGUGAAAUCCCACGGCUCAACCGUGGAAGUGCCCCUGAUACUGACUGUCUUGAGGGAGGUAGGGGCGUGCGGAACUUCCGGUGGAGCGGUGAAAUGCGUAGAUAUCGGAAGGAACACCGGUGGCGAAAGCGGCGCGCUGGACCUCUACUGACGCUGAGGCGCGAAAGCCAGGGGAGCAAACGGG